Pelobates cultripes (western spadefoot toad) is the source of this 295-nucleotide non-coding RNA. The record is from the annotation of a GenBank genome assembly. Lineage: Eukaryota; Metazoa; Chordata; Amphibia; Anura; Pelobatidae.
CCCAGCGGCAGUGUGUGUCCCAGGGAGCUGAAGGUGCCGUCCUUCCUCCCCAGCGGCAGUGUGUACCCCAGGGAGCUGAAGGUGUCGUCCUUCCUCCCCAGCGGCAGUGUGUAUCCCAGGGAGCUGAAGGUACCGUCCUUCCUCCCCAGCGGCAGUGUGUAUCCCAGGGAGCUGAAGGUACCGUCCUUCCUCCCCAGCGGCAGUGUGUACCCCAGGGAGCAGAAGGUGCCGUCCUUCCUCCCCAGCGGCAGUGUGUGUCCCAGGGAGCAGAAGGUGCCGUCCUUCCUCCCCAGCG